This 72-nucleotide transfer RNA is filed under the name Camelus bactrianus (Bactrian camel). It matches the Rfam family "tRNA". Rfam says of the family: Transfer RNA (tRNA) molecules are approximately 80 nucleotides in length. Their secondary structure includes four short double-helical elements and three loops (D, anti-codon, and T loops). Further hydrogen bonds mediate the characteristic L-shaped molecular structure. tRNAs have two regions of fundamental functional importance: the anti-codon, which is responsible for specific mRNA codon recognition, and the 3' end, to which the tRNAs corresponding amino acid is attached (by aminoacyl-tRNA synthetases). tRNAs cope with the degeneracy of the genetic code in two manners: having more than one tRNA (with a specific anti-codon) for a particular amino acid; and 'wobble' base-pairing, i.e. permitting non-standard base-pairing at the 3rd anti-codon position. Lineage: Eukaryota; Metazoa; Chordata; Mammalia; Artiodactyla; Camelidae. RNAcentral also lists the same sequence under 2 other names. The record is from Rfam by way of RNAcentral.
GGAGGUGUAGCUCAGUGGUAGAGCGUGUGCUUAGCAUGCACAAGGUCCUGGGCUCAAUUCCCAGUACUUCCA